Long non-coding RNA from Myxocyprinus asiaticus (Chinese sucker), 151 nucleotides. RefSeq lists it as uncharacterized. NCBI's taxonomy places the organism in Eukaryota, Metazoa, Chordata, Actinopteri, Cypriniformes, Catostomidae. The transcript has 3 exons. The record is from RefSeq and is a predicted model, not a curated record.
AAGAAGACGUGUAGUGCACAAAACAACACUUCUGAUGAAGCAGAAGAGAGAAAGUCAUACACAUCUGAGAUGGCAUGAGGGGCUUUUUGAUGGGAGAACAAUAAUGUGGUUGUUCCAAACAGAAUUUACCCCCAAAAAUGACCAAAUGGCC